Molecule: long non-coding RNA, 1231 nt
Organism: Episyrphus balteatus (marmalade hoverfly)
Lineage: Eukaryota; Metazoa; Arthropoda; Insecta; Diptera; Syrphidae
Exons: 5
Source: RefSeq, a predicted model, not a curated record
UAUUUAAUUAUUCAGCGUAGGUAAAAUUAAUGAAAAUAUUACAAUAUAAGGUACUUUAUAAAAACAAAGUAAUAUUGUAAUAUUUUCUUCGUGUAGAAUUGUUUUUUUUUUUUAUCAACCCCCAUUUUGAAACUCACAAGAAGGCACGCGCUUUUCAUUUCAUCUUCUUCGUUUGGCGUCUGCAUUCACCAGCUACAAAUCUAAUUGUGUGAAAACCAAGAUAAUAUUCUACUUUGUCGGGCGUUUACCAGCAAUAACUGCUACAUAUACAUAAAUUUACAUCAGCAAGACCAGGCAUAAUUAAAAAUUCCAAGAAAAUUACAAAAAUCGGCUUAACAUUUGGAAAACUACAAAUUUAAACAAUCAUCGGCUAGACAUCUGAAAACCAGCUUCUACAAUCAUCAGCCAAACCAAACUAAUUUAUAUUUUAAGCAGAUAAAAACUGUUCCAAGAAAUAGUAAAAUUUUGACAAUCAUCGGCUACAUCUGAAAACCUACCAGCUAAUACAAUCAUCAGCCAGACCAAACUUUAUUAUAUUUUAAACAGAUAAAAAUAGUUCAACAGACAUCUGAAUACUACCAGCUACUACAAUCAUCGGCUACAUCUGAAAACCAACCAGCUACUACAAUCAUCAGCCAGACCAAACUAAAUUAUAUUUUAAACAUAUAAAAAUAGUGAGUAACACCUUUUUAAUAGAUAUACUAAAAUAAACUAUAUAUCACUAGAACUAGCCAUAAUUAAAUUUUAUAAAAAAAAGUAUUAUCCUUUUAUUUCGUGUUGGUAUCGUUUUAAAGCAAAAUUUAAAGUGAUAGAUCUGACUUUGUAUAGCUUGUUGUAAAACAUACAGAUAGAUAUAGGUAAUCAAACUAACAUUAAUUCUUCUUUUUAAAAGAUUCCAAAAUAUCAAAUCAUUAAAAAAAAAACCAAUUAAAACAAUUAUUAGCCAGAUCAGUCUUAAUCAUUUUCAGCAGAUAAAGGCACGAAGUUACAUCAGUUUGUUAGAAUUUUGUUUUGGUAUCGUUUUAAAGCAAAAUUGUUAACAUUAACUUUGACUUGAGUCAAUUUUGCAAUAGCUAGAUAAAACCCAGUUAAGGCUUAUUCCUGGGAAUAAGUUUUUCUAUAUUGACAUUUCUUCUUCUGAUAGUCUAACUAAUAACUAAUAACUGCUUAGAAUAGUUAACCUUUUAUCUUGGUAACGAAACUGAGUGCUACUUGAGCAAAACUUGUAACA